GAGGGUAUAGCUCAGUGGUAGAGUGUGUGCUUAGCAUGUAUGAGGUCCUGGGUUCAAUCCCCAGGACCUCCA
Molecule: transfer RNA, 72 nt
Organism: Camelus ferus (Wild Bactrian camel)
Lineage: Eukaryota; Metazoa; Chordata; Mammalia; Artiodactyla; Camelidae
Rfam family: tRNA
About the family: Transfer RNA (tRNA) molecules are approximately 80 nucleotides in length. Their secondary structure includes four short double-helical elements and three loops (D, anti-codon, and T loops).
Source: Rfam